Molecule: ribosomal RNA, 1324 nt
Filed under: Burkholderia mallei FMH
Lineage: Bacteria; Pseudomonadati; Pseudomonadota; Betaproteobacteria; Burkholderiales; Burkholderiaceae
Description: 16S ribosomal RNA
Source: RNAcentral
CGCGAUCGAAUACGGCUCUUCGCCCGUCGACGCGGCCGAGCACCACACCGAUACCGGCUGCUCGCGACGCUUGACGAAUUCGGCGAGGAUCGGAAAGUGGUGCGAUUCGCGAAAGAACGCGGUCAGGUUCGUCGUCAGCGAGUUCGUGAACGCUUCCCAUUCGGACGGGUCGUUCUCACGCUCGAGCAGUUCGAGGUAAUCGCAGAAGCGGUUGAGCCCGCGCGCGCGCAGCCGCCGCGCGAGGCGGCUGUACGCCAUGUCGCGCUUGUGCUCGGACAGCGAGAUGCCCGCGCGCCGGUGGAUCAGCGCGCGGAUCUUCGUGAAAUCGGCGGACGUGAAUUCGAAGUCCCGCGCAGCGUCGCCCGACCGUUCUUGCGGUUCGGGUGCGUCGAGACGAGAAGCGGCGCGUGCGGGCAUCAUGGCUUAGAAGGUUUCCCAGUCGUCGUCGGAGGAUGCCGACGCGGCCGCGGGCUUCGGCUCGCCCGACAGCGCCGGGCGCUUGAGUGCGAAGGAGGACGCGGGAGCGGAGGCGGCUUGCGGCGCGGCGGCGUCGGCCGGGCUCGCCGCGGGGCGCGCGGCGGCGCCCGGCUUCGCGAGCUUCGGUGCAUAGCCGGCUGCGGCCGGCGCGGCGGCGGGCUUCGGCGCGGCGGCGGGCUUCGCGCCAUGCGGCGCGGCGUGCGUCCCGCGCUGCUCGCCGUGCGAAGCGGGCGCGGCGGCGGGCGAACGCGGCGAUCCGGCUCCGCCGGCCGUCGCGUCCGCGGCAUGCGUCGCGGAUGCGACGGCAUGAGCGACCGCAUGCGGCUCGCUCGACGCGCUCGCGCGGGCGUUCACGUUCGAACGCACGCUCGCGGCCGCCGACGUCGACGCGGCCGGCGUCGCCGCCGCGCUUGCGCCUUCGAUGCGCCAUGCCGAGACGAUCUGCUUCAUCUGCCGCGUCUGAUCCUCGAGCGACGCGGCCGCGGCCGCCGCUUGCUCGACGAGUGCCGCGUUCUGCUGCGUGACGGCGUCCAUCUGGCUGACCGCGCGGUUCACCUGGACGAUGCCCGUCGACUGCUCUUCGGACGCCGCGCUGAUCUCGCCCAUGAUGUCGGUCACGCGCCGCACCGCCUGGACGAUCUCGGCCAUCGUCGCGCCCGCGCGCUCGACGAGCGCGGAGCCGCUUUGCACCUUGUGCGCGGAGUCGCCGAUCAACUGCUUGAUUUCCUUCGCGGCCGUCGCGCUUCUCUGCGCGAGCGAGCGCACCUCGCCCGCGACCACCGCGAAGCCGCGGCCCUGUUCGCCCGCGCGCGCCGCCUCGACGGCCGCGUUCAGCGCGAGGAUGUUG